GUCUACGGCCAUGCCACCCUGAACAUGCCCGAUCUCGUCUGAUCUCGGAAGCUAAGCAGGGUCGGGCCUGGUUAGUACUUGGAUGGAAGACCACCUAGGAAGACCAGGUGCUGUAGGCA
RNAcentral lists this ribosomal RNA (119 nucleotides) under Pteropus alecto (black flying fox). The record is from RNAcentral. Lineage: Eukaryota; Metazoa; Chordata; Mammalia; Chiroptera; Pteropodidae.